UAUUUCACCAACAACAACACGCAUCUUCAUCUUCAUCCUCACGAUUGCACAUACUCAGACAGAAGGAGACGAUUGCACAUACUGAGACAGAAGGAGAAACUUAGCGAUUUCGGUUACAAAGCGACGAUGAUGACGGAGAUGACUGCGAAAAGGUUCGGCGGCGGCGGCGGCGGUUAAGGUUCCGCCAUCAAACAUGGUAUCAGCAGUGUUUUCUUCAUCAGAAUCGCUAUCGGUGGGCUAAGCUCUAGGGUUCCGGACGCCGUUCAAUUGAAGGUAACGACGAUUAAGAAGGCAAUGAUGGAGGUUCUGCUUAUAGGCAUGGCGGUGACUUCAGAAACGAACUCCGGUGACUCAACUAGGGUUCCAGCAAGAUUACGGCGCCUUUUUACACUGUAAGUUUGGUUUUCUUGAAGGUUCAAGGACCGAUCAUAAAUGAAGGGGAUGGGUUGCAUUGUUUUCAAUCUAAUAUUUGAAUCAUCUGCUUUCAAUUAUUAUCAAUGAUUUUUACGGCAUAAAUUGACAAUUAUUAUUAUCAACGAUCAAAACUGUUUAGUCGAGGUUAAAUGCUUUGAAAUUGCAGAAUUCAGUUUUGACCUUCCUUCUCACAUCAUUGUGUAACUUUUGAAAUUAUUAAACUUUAGUGAUUGAAUGUGAUAUGUUUUGUGGAGCCGGGGGUGAUCCGUUGGGUGCACCCACUAAGAUUUGGUUAUGUGAAGAUGGUAAUAAUCCGUUGGGUGCACCCACAAUGCCUUUAUCGUGUCAAUUUUCAAAAUUAGCAUCUAUAUGUUUAUGCACAUCUAAGAGAUUUGAACAGUGAGGUGCACCCACAACGCCUUCACAAUCAUCUAUUUUCAAAAUAAUCCGUUGGGUGCACCGCACCCACAACGCCUUCACAAUCGUCUAUUUCUUAGCACCGUGAGGUGGAUAACGUCAAAAAAAUCGGGUACAACUUUUUUUUUUCGAGAAAGAGGGGUUGCAUGGAUGGUGGGAUUGAUCGAUGAGUAAAACGGUGAUGGAAGUGGGCGUUUGAUGGUCUGAAAAGGGGGAUCAGUUCUGGCAGUAGCAAUCAGAUGUGGUGUCAUCUCUGAGGGCGGUAUUCGUCAGCGAUUGGUGGUGUUUUACUGUGGUUUAGGGCCGUGGUAGAUGAAGUCGGUACUGAAGCAAUCAAUUGAAGGGGAAUCUGAACCAUGGCGGUGACUUUUGUGGGCAAUCAUUUGUUGUUUGGUCUUGGUUGCGCUACUGGAACUGUAGUUGUAAUCGGUUUUGUGGGGAUCUUUUGUUGAUCGCUGUCACCUCUUCAUUGCAAGUCGCGGUAGUCUUCACUUCAUGCUAGAAGGCAUAUAAUUGUUUCAUUUAUAACAAUUUUUUGUCGGUGCAGAAAGGAUCUGAAAGCUAUUUUUUUCAGAGAUGGUUUGUUUUCUUUCAGGUAUGUCGUAGUAGUUCUAGAUAUGAUAGAAAUAGAGGUAUGGAUUUCUGGCAUUUAUAUCAUUUUGAGUAACUAUAUACGUUCUACCAGUAGUAUUUGGUUUAGGGUUUGUAUAAUUAAGAUAGGUAGCUUCUGAUUGAACAUCUAAAGAAUAGGAUUUAUAAAAUUAAGAGAGAUCUAAGUAGCUCCUGAUUGUAGAUCUCAAGAAUAGGGUGGCUGAAGCAUUGACAAUGAAGAGAAGGGAUUACAGAGAGAUUGCUUGGAUGAUGCUUCAUCAAAUAGGCAAUGGCUUCUUUUUAUUUGAAUCUUAAAUUUAGUUAUAAAUACGCUGCCACAAUCGGACUAAUGGAUCUGCACAAACGGAUAGAUCAUCAGUUGUAUUCUCUUCGAUCUUCACCACUUAAUUCUAGAGUUCUUCAUUUAGGUGGUGGAUUUGGGAUUUAUAUAACACAAAGCUCCUAGAAGUAAACCCGUAUGACCCUUGGAAGAUAAGAAAAAAGAGAAGAGCGAAAUAAAGUGUGAGAGUGAUUUGUAUAGGCUGUGAUGAUCGUUACCUUGAGCAAACAUGGUAUUUAUAUUGCUUUGUGACCAUAGGUUUGGACUGAGGUUCUAUUCUAGGAAUUUUGUAGUCAACAUUUUGGAUCUGUGCAAGAACGUAUGAUAUCUUAUCCUUUCGUAUGUACCUUUGUUAAUUGUAUUUGUUUUGUCUCUGUAUUCUUAUUAUAGGAUGAUUUGCCA
This is a long non-coding RNA of Helianthus annuus (common sunflower), 2164 nucleotides long. RefSeq lists it as uncharacterized. The record is from RefSeq and is a predicted model, not a curated record. Lineage: Eukaryota; Viridiplantae; Streptophyta; Magnoliopsida; Asterales; Asteraceae. The transcript is spliced from 2 exons.